AGCUUAAAGCAUUUAUUUUAGGUGAAGCCUGCCCAGUGCGCUUAUUUGUCAACGGCCGCAGUAUUUUGACUGUGCUAAGGUAGCAAAAUAAUUUGGCUUUUAAAUGGAGUCGGGAAUGAAUGGAUUAAUGGGGUUAAGCUGUCUCUCCCAUAUUCUUUUGAAUUUACUUAUUAGGUGAAAAUGCCUAUUAUUAGAAAAAAGACGAGAAGACCCUAGGAGUUUUUACGAUUUACUAUUCCUAUAGUAUGAGUUUUUGUUGGGGCGACAUAGGGGCAAUAUAUGAUUUAAACCCCCUUUAUUAAAUUUGCCGACUUUGUAUGGGAGAUUAAACUACCCUAGGGAUAACAGCGUAAUUUUUUAUAAGCUUGCGACCUCGAUGUUGGACUAGGAAUUUGGUAGGUUAGCCGCCUAUUUAAAAGGUUCUGUUCGAACAAUGCCUCC
Molecule: ribosomal RNA, 441 nt
Filed under: Mourgona murca
Lineage: Eukaryota; Metazoa; Mollusca; Gastropoda; Caliphyllidae
Description: partial 16S ribosomal RNA
Rfam family: Archaeal large subunit ribosomal RNA
Source: RNAcentral